Molecule: ribosomal RNA, 468 nt
Filed under: uncultured bacterium
Lineage: Bacteria
Description: partial 16S ribosomal RNA
Rfam family: Bacterial small subunit ribosomal RNA
Source: RNAcentral
GACGAACGCUGGCGGCGUGCUUAACACAUGCCAGUCGAACGGAAAGGCCCUGCUUUUGUGGGGUGCUCGAGUGGCGAACGGGUGAGUAACACGUGAGUAACCUGCCCUUGACUUUGGGAUAACUUCAGGAAACUGGGGCUAAUACCGGAUAGGAGCUCCUGCUGCAUGGUGGGGGUUGGAAAGUUUCGGCGGUUGGGGAUGGACUCGCGGUUUAUCAGCUUGUUGGUGGGGUAGUGGCUUACCAAGGCUUUGACGGGUAGCCGGCCUGCGAGGGUGACCGGCCACAUUGGGACUGAGAUACGGCCCAGACUCCUACGGGAGGCAGCGGUGGGGAAUAUUGCACAAUGGGCGGAAGCCUGAUGCAGCAACGCCGCGUGCGGGAUGACGGCCGUCGGGUUGUAAACCGCUUUCGCCUGUGACGAAGCGUGAGUGACGGUAAUGGGUAAAGAAGCACCGGCUAACUACGUG